CCGCGCUUAGCUCAGCUGGCUUAGAGCACCUGACUGUAGAUCAGGGGGUCCCCGGUUCAAGUCCGGGAGCGCGGACCA
RNAcentral lists this transfer RNA (78 nucleotides) under Methanobacteriota archaeon. RNAcentral describes it as "Euryarchaeota archaeon tRNA-Tyr". It matches the Rfam family "tRNA". Rfam says of the family: Transfer RNA (tRNA) molecules are approximately 80 nucleotides in length. Their secondary structure includes four short double-helical elements and three loops (D, anti-codon, and T loops). Lineage: Archaea; Methanobacteriati; Methanobacteriota. RNAcentral also lists the same sequence under 2 other names. The record is from RNAcentral.